Small nuclear RNA from Dromiciops gliroides (monito del monte), 128 nucleotides. NCBI's taxonomy places the organism in Eukaryota, Metazoa, Chordata, Mammalia, Microbiotheria, Microbiotheriidae. The record is from RefSeq and is a predicted model, not a curated record.
GAGUUGUAUGAAAGGAGAGAAGGUUAGCACUCCCCUUGAUAAGGAUGGAAGAGGUCCUAGUGGCCUUUACAACAUAUGUACGGUUAAGUCAUUGCCACCUAUUCUGUGACAUCUAACCAAAUAAUUCU